UUGAGCAGUCACUGUGGUUGUGAGAUGGUUUCUCCUUGAAGCUGAUGAGGGACAAAGCAAACCUCCAGCCAGCCACCUUCCUGAGAGCUUGGCAGUAGAGAGCCUGCAGCCAAGCUAGCCAGAACCAGGCCUUUGAGAAGUGUGGAACUCUUGCUUCCUUGCAUGAAACUGACCCCGGACACAAGUUAAUAACAACAAUCUCCUGUGGCCAGGAGCACCCAAUUCCAAUACUCUCUCCAACAGUUUCUAAGACUUCAAGCCUCUUUUGCAUCACACAGAGGGGGCAGUGACUGCAAUGCUGUGAGUUUACCCGGGAAUAGUACGUCAUUAAAUCUUUGACAGAGAGCUCUAAAUACUGUUUUUGAUUCAUGGUAGGCAGCAUACCAGGACAUGCCUAUUUUGAUCAUGAUGCAACGUGACCAGAAGAGAACUGCUGCUCACAAAUGUCCUUUUCUCAUGCAAGAGAAGCUCCUGAAGCAUCCAAAGAAGAGUCCAUGUGCCCAAGGGUAUUGUCCAAACACUUCUUGAACUCUGUCAGCCUUGGUGCAGUGACCAUUUCCCUGGGGAGCUGUUCCAGUGCCCAACCACCCUCUGGGUGAAGAACCUUUUUAUAAUAUCCAACCUAAACCUCCCCUGACACAAUUUCAGGCCAUUCUCUUGAGUCUUGUCACUGAGACCACAAAGCAGGGAUCAGUGUCUGCCCCUUCUCUUCCUCUCAUGAGGAAGCUGAAACUGUAAUGAGGUCCCCCCUCAGUGUCCUCUUCUCCAGCCUGGACAGAACAAGUGACCUCAGCUGCUCCUUGUAUGGUUUCCCCUCAAGCCCUACAUGGGGGUCUUUAUGUGCAUUUUCAUUUAUGUCAAAGUGAGGAAAAUGCUGUGAUGUGUUUUCCCUGCUGUCCAACAAGGUCCCCAGGGGCUGGUAGUCCAUCCAGCUUCACCUCUCCCAUGUUACAAGUGGAGUGCUACAGCUUUUGGGUGGUGUGCCGACUCUGCCUCUCCUCAAAGAGAAAAUACAAUUUAUUUAAAAUAUAUAUAACAUAUGUUUGAGGCCAUACUUGUUUAAUUUCUGGAACCAGAACUAGCCUUUUUAUUUUCAUUCUAGAAUUUGCCUACUGUCCCAAAGUAAUCAAGUCAGGAAUCAGAGGAUUUGGCUUCUCUGAGGACUGUGCCUGCCUCAAAUUCUACAGAAGCUGAAAACAGGCAGAUCUUCCAUCCUUGGCCAUGGUUCUGGACACCAAUUAUUUUUGCCCACAGUCACUGAAGUCAAUGGGUCUUCACACACUGGUGCAGAAGUCUCAGCUGGAGAGUGAUGAUGUAAGAUCAGAGCUUUUGUCUGCAAUUCAUGUGCCUAAGAGUGCUAAAGAAAUAAGUUAACAGUGAGAUUUUUAAUUGACAUAUCAAGGAAUUUGUAUUCCUUUGUCAUUAAUAUAUUGGGUAAAGUGAAUAUAUAUAUGUUGAGUAAAAAACCCUACAGGCUAUCAGUACCAAUAGUUAAUUUUAAAGACUUUUAAUGCAUGUUAAUGACAACAUCCCUCUAAGAUUAAGGUAUUCUGGUUUUACUGGCAGGGAAGCAGAGGUUAAGUAAGCCACACAGCAAGUCCUUGGAUUUAUAACUCCCAAAUCUGCCUUCUGCUCAGUCCAGCAGGUCAUGCUGACUAACUGUGGAAUGCAUGUUUCCAAAGAACUCUUAAGGGACAAGAGGAAUCAGAAGGAACAAAAGGUACAGAUAAAGUAAGCAUUAAUUCUAAAAAAAAAAUGUUUUCCACCAUUCAAAAAACACAAGUCAACUUCUGUUUAAGUUGUCAUACCUCACCAUUGCAUUAGCCAGGAACAGGAGCACUGGAAGAACACGAGGGAAAUUGUCCUGACAGCAUUUUUAACAAAGCUGAAAUAGACACAACAGCUUUAUGUCAUGAGAUUUCCAAUACAAACAAAAUCUGUGCCUAAGAUUUCAAAUAAAGUUUAUGGAAGUUCAUCCCAAUGUAGCUGCAAAGUUCAGAGAAGCCAGAACUGCUCCCUUCCAUGCAGAUCUUGGCAGCCAUGAGACUGUAGAAAACAAGCAGUGAUGCUGUUAUUUCAGCUUCUUAAAGACUAUUUCUAUGCUACUGCUCUCUAUUAUAUAAGUCUGCUCGUCAGAGUUGGACCAAUCUGUAUGUACUGGAAUACUAAUAAAAACAAAACCUGUUUUAAGCCAAUUAGGAAUUUAAAUAUUAAUUUACUCAUGUUAAAGAUUGAACAUUUACAGAAAACUAAGAAAAUUAAAUGGAACUGACCCUGCAAUUUCAAAGACCUUUUGUCAGACAUGAACCAAGACAAGUGUGAAAGGAAGUGCUGAUUAUGUGACAACACUAUAACCAGACCAUCUGGAAUCUGACUUUGGAGCAGGAAUAAAGAAUUCAUUUCCAUUCCAUCAAGAGUCUCCAUCCAUAAAAAGUUAAUUUCCUUUUACAGGUAAACAAAAGGGGCUUGCUCAACCUGACCCAGCUUACAGAGGUACACAGAGGUUCAGGUUGCAAACUGCCUUUUUCUCCCUCUACCCUUUUUUGACUGCACCUCAUUUAUUCUUGCACACCUUAUGACAUGGGACAAAUCCCAACCUGUUGCUGGCAGAUUAAAAUUAAGUAUCUGCAACAAUCUUUCUCACUAACUGAAAGAGAAGUAGGUACUUCGAGUCAAGUGACAAAGUAUCAACAAAAAAACCUCUCAGAGAUUAAAGAACUGAAUGGCCCUGUUUGAACUUGGCUUUGGUUAAAGUCAAGCAGCUGGAAAAGCUCCUGAUCCCAUAUUCACAUGUAAAAAAUAGAUGGAGAAAUUACAUAUUCUGAUACUUAAUUUA
Molecule: long non-coding RNA, 2836 nt
Organism: Oenanthe melanoleuca
Lineage: Eukaryota; Metazoa; Chordata; Aves; Passeriformes; Muscicapidae
Exons: 3
Source: RefSeq, a predicted model, not a curated record